RNAcentral lists this ribosomal RNA (507 nucleotides) under uncultured bacterium. RNAcentral's name for it is "partial 16S ribosomal RNA". The record is from RNAcentral.
GGAGUUAGCCGGUGCUUCUUCUGUGAGUGAUGUCCUUCCUGCCGGCUAUUAACCCGCAGGCCUUCUUCCUCACUGAAAGUGCUUUACAACCCGAAGGCCUUCUUCACACACGCGGCAUGGCUGGAUCAGGGUUGCCCCCAUUGUCCAAUAUUCCCCACUGCUGCCUCCCGUAGGAGUCUGGGCCGUGUCUCAGUCCCAGUGUGGCUGAUCAUCCUCUCAGACCAGCUACGGAUCGUCGCCUUGGUGAGCCGUUACCUCACCAACCAGCUAAUCCGACAUAGGCUCAUCCGAUAGCGCGAGGCCCGAAGGUCCCCCGCUUUCCCCCGUAGGGCGUAUGCGGUAUUAGCCUGGGUUUCCCCAGGUUAUCCCCCACUACCGGGCAGAUUCCUAUGCAUUACUCACCCGUCCGCCGCUCGCCACCAGGGAGCAAGCUCCCCGUGCUGCCGCUCGACUUGCAUGUGUUAGGCCUGCCGCCAGCGUUCAAUCUGAGCCAGAAUCAAACACUGA